This 75-nucleotide transfer RNA is filed under the name Pedosphaera sp. RNAcentral's name for it is "tRNA-Val". It matches the Rfam family "tRNA". From Rfam's summary of the family: Transfer RNA (tRNA) molecules are approximately 80 nucleotides in length. Their secondary structure includes four short double-helical elements and three loops (D, anti-codon, and T loops). Further hydrogen bonds mediate the characteristic L-shaped molecular structure. tRNAs have two regions of fundamental functional importance: the anti-codon, which is responsible for specific mRNA codon recognition, and the 3' end, to which the tRNAs corresponding amino acid is attached (by aminoacyl-tRNA synthetases). tRNAs cope with the degeneracy of the genetic code in two manners: having more than one tRNA (with a specific anti-codon) for a particular amino acid; and 'wobble' base-pairing, i.e. permitting non-standard base-pairing at the 3rd anti-codon position. Lineage: Bacteria; Pseudomonadati; Verrucomicrobiota; Pedosphaerae; Pedosphaerales; Pedosphaeraceae. RNAcentral also lists the same sequence under 1 other name. The record is from RNAcentral.
GCGCGCUUAGCUCAGUGGUAGAGCAUCACCUUGACACGGUGGGGGUCGGAGGUUCGAAACCUCCAGCGCGCACCA